AAUGAAUUUAUCUAUUCUGUUCUUCACAUCUUCUACUUCUCUCCAGCUGCGUGUCUUCUACUUCUAUCAUCUGCCGACUGCUUCAUCUUCUAUUCUCUUCACUAUCACACGUACAAUUUGUAUAUAUCUAUUGAAAUAAUGGUGUUGUUCAAGGUUGAUUUUAGAUUUUUUUCUUUUUUAUUAACUGAAAUCUUGUACAAGAGAUUCAGCAAAGAGAUUGGAACUCUAGUGGCUAAUAGGAGGCGAGAAAUGGUAUUAAAGUAUUCUUUCUUCAUACAAGAAAUUUUUUUAACGAAAAUAUUAUUUUUGAAACCCGGAUAAACCGUGACCGGAUGGUUUUCCAGGUUUUGUACCGCUUUCCAUGUAUUCGAUUUUCAUGUUUCACCGGACCGGCUAUCACUGGUCCAAUGACCCGCCUAUUUGAAAAUUAAAAUCGUCCACAAUUUCGAAUAAAAUGCCUUUCUGAUUUCCAAGAUUCCCAAGAAGGCCUCUCUCAUUUCAAGAGAAAUUCAAAAUGGCAGAGAACGAGGAGCCUGGCCAGCCAGAUCCUGAAAAUGAUAAAGACAAAGAAAAUUCCAGAAAUGUCGAUGAUAAUCAAUAAUCGGUCGAACGGGUAGUCACUUCUGGGUAUUUCGUUUAUGAAAUUUUGUCCAAAUUACCACGUGAAAGUUUGCUAGAUGACCUUCAUGAAGUCAGCCCAUUGUGGGCUGCAGUUAAGACGAAAUUAAUUUCCGACUUGAGAUUGGAGGCAAAACAAAGAAUUGCUCACUGUCUUCUUCCUAGAGAAACGGUUUUUGAAGGUGUGAUCCGGAACAUUGCCAAUGUAGAAUCACGGGAUGUAAUGUUCUUGGCGGACGUGACGUUUGUUGGGGCAACUGGUCCAGAAGGUUUCGAAAUUCGAUCGAGGGAGUACAUUCUUUCUGAAGUUGAAGGCAGUUUAUCUGGUACUGAUGGUAAUACCACUGAGGACGAUGGUGAUGAAUGAAAAUUGGAAUAUCCGGUUUUCUUGCAGGAACAUUUUUGAUAGAUUGAUACUAUUGAUCAUAUUUUCGAGUUCAUGAACAUUGGAAUAUACGAUUUUUUUGUACGAACAUUGUUGAUAGAUUGAUAUUGAUCAUAUUUUCGAGUUCAUAAAUCAUGACAAUAAAAUCGAUAUUUUCUCCC
Molecule: long non-coding RNA, 1164 nt
Organism: Olea europaea var. sylvestris
Lineage: Eukaryota; Viridiplantae; Streptophyta; Magnoliopsida; Lamiales; Oleaceae
Exons: 3
Source: RefSeq, a predicted model, not a curated record